This is a long non-coding RNA of Oxyura jamaicensis (ruddy duck), 1798 nucleotides long. RefSeq lists it as uncharacterized. The transcript is spliced from 2 exons. Lineage: Eukaryota; Metazoa; Chordata; Aves; Anseriformes; Anatidae. The record is from RefSeq and is a predicted model, not a curated record.
UCACUGUCCCCAGGGCUGCCGGGGUGCCGGUGGCCGUGCCCCGCCGGCACCCAGCCUCACCUGGGCCGUGCGAGCGGUAGGAGCGUGGGGACGGGGCCUUGGCGUUCGAUUUGCCCUCUUGUGCUAAGGUUUUCGUGCUGUCGUGCUAGGAUUAAUAAAUAAAAAGCUGUUGCAAAGGAGGGUUCCCGGUGAGUAAUCAGAUUAGCAUACUAUGUAUGUAUUGAACAUAAAGCCAAAUAUAAAUUCCACCCCGUUCUGUUUGUUCCUUCGUCGUUCGCUGAGACGCUGGCAGCGCUGCUUGUGAGGAAAUGCAGGGCUUCGGCGUUCGGACGGGCGUCGGGAAGUUUGGGCGGCGAUCCGAACUUGUCAGCCCUGUUGCACACUGGAAGCUUGAGCUGGGUAACUUGGGCAAAAUGGCUUUGGCAUGUGUUCUCAAGACACGGCUGGUCCCGGCUGGAAAUACCAGGAGAACAGCCUCCCUCCCUCGCCCCCAAGUAUUUUGGCACUUGCUCAUCCCUCCCCAGCUGGGAACCGGAGGAAAAAAGUGUCCUGAUUUUAGCAGCUAGCUUGGCAUUAGGAGAGAGAAAUGAACAGGGCUCUCUCCUGUCCGUUGGCAAGCUUUCCUCAGAGCAACCAGCAGUACCAGCAGGAGAGAUAACAAGCACUGGGGGGCAAAAAGCAGUUGCAGGUAGCGAGCAGAGAAAGGCCUGGCCAUGAAGCAGCCCCAAGCACCGGGCAUCCUCAUGAAAGCUGCCUUUUGCCAGCACGUAGGUUUAUUCAGCGCAUUUACUGGACGCAGGUCCAUGGUAUCAUGCCAGGCGGUGACCGAGACGCUCGGUGACGGCUCGCUUCCUGCCGUGAUCCCACCCAUCUCAGACCCUCUGCUCUCCAGACAGCUCCAGAUCAUCAUCAGCAGGGGAAACACCAGGCUUCCAGUGACCUAUUCGGGCAGCGAGAGGUUAUCACUGUCAAUAGCGAUUAUUAACAAGCGCUUGCCACUCACUGCUGAUGAAGAUGGAAGGAAGUGAAGCCCUCCUAGACCAACCAGCUGCUUUCAGCUGGGUCGUUUCAAACGUGGGGACGGUUGGCUUUAUGGAGAAGGCAGUAUGGAAAUAAGGUGUGCAGGGGGACAGCGGCAUGCCUUGCAUGUGCCUUACAGCCCACAGAAAGCUGGGCCCUCGGAGAGGUGAUCUGGCAGUCGUGGUGUGAGCAGUCAGAAGCAAGCUAGGCGGAAUGGUUUCUGCUCUCCACUCUAGCAAUAUCUAGCGUUAUGGAUUGUCUUUUCAUGACAUUGCUCAUUAUUCAUUUUAAUGCAGAAUGAAAUGACAAUGUAAUAUCCCAAGUUAGUACGUGGAAAUCACUCAUGAAAAAAUUUGACUUAUUCAGCUGUUUUACUGUCAUCCUAUGCAUUUUGUCCACUAUAUAUUCAACAUUAUUGUUAACUACGUUUAGAAAGAAAUCACUCAGCAGUCAUGUUUUCAUGUUUCAGAACUAUGGCUGUAAUAGACUCUGGUCUUUGGUUUAAUUUCUACUCUUCCAUAAGACAACAUACAUAGGACUUAUUGGAUGACCUUCACAGGAAUUUAAAAGUACAUGAAUAAAUAAACAGAGCCACUCAAGACCAAGACAGGUCCCUUCUUCCAGACUCUGUGGAAGCUCUUCCAGUGCUUGGACCCCAGAACUGCCACAGACUGCCCUCCUCAGCCACCACAAAUGUAUCACCAGGGAAUCCUAUUUGGAGCUAAGAUUUUAUCUAAGUGUUUCUGUGACUAAAAUAAAGCAAACUGGUGUUAAAAAA